This 17545-nucleotide long non-coding RNA is filed under the name Eutrema salsugineum. Its description in RNAcentral is "long non-coding RNA (ESAL_LNC002098)". The record is from RNAcentral. Lineage: Eukaryota; Viridiplantae; Streptophyta; Magnoliopsida; Brassicales; Brassicaceae.
CUAAACUUCUGAAAUUGGAUCUCAGUGGUUGUUCAAGUCUAGUGGAGCUCCCAUCUUCUAUUGGGAAUCUUAUUAAUCUCACAGAGUUGACACUUAGUCGGUGCUCAAGUCUAGUGGAGCUCCCAUCUUCUAUUGGGAAUCUUAUUAAUCUCACAGAGUUGACACUUAGUUGGUGCUCAAGUCUGGUGAAACUUUUGAAAGGCUGCUCAAGUCUAGAGGCUCUUCCAAUCAUCAUCGACAUGGAAUCUCUCGAUACACUUUAUCUCACUGGCUGCAAAUCGUUGAAAACCUUUCCUGUGAUUUCCACAAAAAUUAAGUCUCUCUCUAUUAUUGAAACUGCAAUAGAAGAAAUUCCUUCGUCAUUCAGGUCAUGGUCUCGUCUUGAGGACUUGCGAAUGCCGUACUGUGAAAACCUGGCGGAAUUUCCGCAUGUUUUUGGCUGCAUCACGGAGCUUGAGGUGAGCAAUACAAGAAUACAAGAAAUUGCUCCAUGUGUCAAGGAAAUGUCUCGUCUACAGAGACUUGUAAUCAAGGGAUGCACAAAUCUGGUUUCGCUCCCAGAGCUUCCAGGCUCCUUAAGAUUCCUGCUUGCAGAAAAUUGUGAGUCACUAGAGAAACUAGAUUGCUCUUUUUACAAGAGAGUGUUUGAUUAUCUCUUGUUUUGCAACUGCUUCAAACUGAAUCAAGAAGCAAGAGACCUUAUCAUCAAGACAUCGAUUAGUACUAAGUAUGCAAUGUUACCCGGAGAAAAAGUGCCUCCAUAUUUCACUCACCGAACUAAUGGGAGUUCCAUCUCAGUGAAUUUGAUUGGAAGUGAUACACAUUUUCCUUUAUCCUUGAGAUUUAAGGCUUGCGUCUUGACUGGGGAGCAAUCGUAUGCUAUGUAUUGGAAUUUAAAUUGUUGUAUCAAUGGUGUCAAGGUUAAGGUUAAGAUAGUGGGUUCCAUCGACCAUUCGCUGCAUCUAUUGAUAUUCAAAUUUGAAGCAGAGGUGAGUUCCAGUGAAUUACUCUUUGAAUUCAAAUCCGUACGCUUUCCGACAUGUGAGAUUGGAGGAUGCGGGAUACGAAUUUUGAUAUAAAAGGAGGAUAUCCAAUAUAAUUUCAAUUUUUCAUUCAUAACUAAGAAAAACUUUACUUUCAAGUUGAUGUUUAUUUUUAUUAUUAUAGUGUGAUAUUCUUGGAUUGAUGUCUCUUAUUAAAAUUAACAGAUAAACUGAAAAACGUUGCUAAAGCAAAAAAACAGAGCUAUGCAUUCCUUGUCUGCCUUAAAUAUCAACCCUACAGUUGCUAUAUCAUAAAUCUUUGUUUCAAACUCGUUUGAAUGAUCAUCAACAAACAAAAAGAAAUUCUGAAGCUUGUGUAAAUUCUAAGUCAGUUGAGAUAACUUUUAGUUGGAUUUGGGAAUGAAGAUUCCAUUCAAGAUCAUUUACUUUUCGUAAAAGUUUUCCUCGGUUUAGGUCUGCAACUCUUCUACAUGAUUCUAUAAAAAUAUAUCUUCCCCUUUUUCGAUUAAUCAUCAAAGAACUGGGAUUAACUUUCUCUGUUUGUGGCUUUGUGUUACCACUUCUCAUCAUCACUCAGAAUUCUUCAUAGUUUAUUCUUCCAUCCUGCAUAAAAAGAGAAACCCAUCAAUGUCAAUGUUAGCUUAAGACUUACUGCUCAUAACAUCUUUGAUGCUAUAUACAAGGAGAAAAUAACUUACAUUAUCUGUGUCCACUUCCGCUAUGAUCUCUUUGAUGCUAGCUUCGUCUCCCAUAUCAUACUCUUUCAUAGCUGAUUCCAACUCAUCCAUUGUGAUAAACCUGUGCAUGUCAAAUCCACAUUGGUGUCUUAAUAUAUAUCUCCAAGUCUAUAUUUUGCUUGUUCCUCAAAGGGCCAAACUUACCUGCUAUUGUCUUUGUCAAAGUAUUGGAAGGCUUUGAAUAAGUGCUCAUCUCGAUCCACUCUGUAUCUAUGCAUCGUCGCUGACAUAAACUCGAUGUAGUCUAUUGUUCCAUUACCAUCUACAUCAGCCUGAAACAUUUUAUACAUCAAAAGGCUUCUCUUCUCAUGUUCUAUCUUUGAAGAUAAGAAUAUGGAAUGAAUAGAAAGAGGAUGGCAAUACUAACAGCUUCCAUGAGUUGCUUAACCUCAGCUUCAGAGAGUUUAGAACCGAGUUUAGCCAGCCCGGUUUUCAGUUCUUCGUUAGUGAUUGUCCCGCUUUGAUCGGUAUCCAUAUUCGCAAACAUGGUUUUGAGACCUUUAAUUUCCUCUUCAGAGAGACUCUCUGCAAUAACCUGCAAAACAAAAACAAAAAGCAGAAACACGACCAAUGAUUAGCUAGGAAAAAUGGAAGAGAAUGUUUACUUGAAGAAUAGAAGUUUGUAGCUUUACCUUAAGAGCUAGCUUCUUAAGUUUGUUCAUUGCUCGGAAUUGCUUCAUCCGAGAUAACACAGCACUAUCAAUAGGCUUGUCCGGAGCUUCUCCGCCUCUGAUCCAAGGAUGAUCUAUGAAAAAGAACAUUGAAAAGUAUGUUCUUUGGUUAGUAGACUAAUCUUGAAGAGACUAAAUGCACUUUACCAAGAGCUUGUGCGGCUGAGAUUCGUUUCUUAGGGUCCUUAGUAAGCAUCUUCCUCACAAGGUCCUUAGCACUCUCAGAUAUAGAAGGCCAUGGUUGGCUCUCAAAAUCAAUUUCUCCCUUAAUAAUCUCAUCAAAUAUCCCUUUUUCAGUUUCUACAAUGUAACAACAACAGCAUAAAACAAUAUAUAAAUACAUAACUGAAUGGUUAAACCGAAACAAACAAUUUGUCAGCUUUCAUUACCUGCCCAAAAAGGAGGCACACCACAAAGCAAGAUGUAUAGAAUAAUCCCUGCACUCCAAAUAUCGAUUUCCUUUCCAUAACUUCGUCUUAAUACUUCAGGAGCAAUAUAGUAAGCACUUCCAACUAUAUCCCUGUAAACUUUCCCUGCAAUUUUGUUUUCCAUUUGUUAAAACAACAGAUCAAGCUUAUGAACACCAGAUUCAACUAACCAAAAUGGCAUAACUUGACAGACAAAUAAGGAUUACAACACACAAGUUCUAAACAGUUACGCACAUUCCCAAGUUCACACAAAACUUGUAAAACCUCUGUUUUGAAGCUUACCACUAUAUACUAAACUAUAAGCAGAGUAACGUAAGAAUAGAUUACUCCUGUCAAAAUCUAUUAUUAUCGUAUCUAAACAUCGGUUUAGAAUCUUUGAUAAAUCUAAAACACUUGCAUAUAAUCAAAAGCAGAACAAGUUGUAUAGCAGAGCCGUGCUUAGGUUUAUAGAGGCCUUAGACAAAAUUUAAACAUGUGGUCGUAUUAUAAAAAUAAUACUUUAUAAAAAACUAUAACAAUGAAUUAAAACAUACAAAAAUAAUGAUAAUAAAUAAUAGAUAAUAUAGAAAUUCUAAAUUAUAAUUAUUUUCAUUUUUCCUACAAAAGCAUUUAUCAAAUUCACAUAUUCAAUUUUUUUAAUCAAUUCUUUUUAUUAAUAUAAUAAUCAAACUGUUUAAUUUCUCUAAUAACAAUAAAAAUGUUUAAGAUUAUGAACUUUUUAAAACAAAUAAAUUAAAUACAUGUAUUAAACUAUAUAUGUAAGCCUAUUUUUGAAAUAAAUGUGGCCUUAUAAUUUUGUUAACUUUGAUGUGGCCUUAGGCCAUUGCCUAAUUUUUUAUACCUGAGGCACGGCUCUGUUGUAUAGUAUUCUCACCUUCUUCGAUGAACACAGACAAUCCAAAAUCAGUAGCCUUGAGCAUAGCAUUCUCAUCUUUACUAGCGAGCAAGAAGUUCUCAGGCUUGAGAUCACGAUGCAUCACACCCAUGAAAUGACAAAUCUGUACAACAUUCAGAAUCGAUCUAAUAACACCUGCAGCUGCUCUCUCCGAGUAAUAGAACCCAUCAAUUUUUUCUUUUUAUAAUAUUAAUUCGCGUGGGUUUUUAUUCCUACUUCUAAAACCUUGCACUCUUUAAUUAUGUUUUUCAGAAAUACAUUUCCUUCUUUGGGAAAUUAUAUUUGUAAAUUCACAGAAACUUAUACAUAUAUCAUUUUACGUUCACUAAAAAAUGGUCAUUAGCACAUAAAAUUGCAAAAUCAAUAGCCAGAAGUGUUACUAAGUUUAAUCUACAUCAAGUUUAUAAAGCAAAAGAUGAAAAUGAAGUGGCUCAUCGUCUUGGAGAUUUCGACAAAUCGAGAAGCAGAUGUAUUGAAGGAAUGUCUUAACGGUGAUGUCAAGUCUAUGUUGAUUGUUGAGCUUGUAUGAAGCUGUUCACUUAUUCACUUGGGGACUACCACUGAUGAUAUAAUAGACCAAAGGCCAAGCAUUGAGAUUCACAUCGAUUCACUUGAAGAGUUGAAGUUGUUUAGUGGAUCAUUUUAUGGGCAGUAACUGAAUUUGGGCAGUUUCGAUAUAUGACGUGGCCCAUGAGACUUGGUAUUCAUUUUUGACGGGUUGAUCCGGAGAAUAUAUAUGUAUCCAUGAUUAUUUUUUUGUUUUGCGGAUCGAAAUAUUUUCGAUUCGUAUCUACCCUAGAAGUUAGAACUAGUCAGUUAUUCAAUGUUUUUUAUAGGAUAAUAACCGAUCCGCUUAUUUUUUAAAAAAUUCAACUUAAAAGAUUAUGAAAAAAAAAUUAAGAUCACAGUGAAAAUAUUCAUGUAAAGUCCUUUUUUUUUUCAAAUUUAAUAGUCUGAUAUUUAUUUAUAUUUUUAAAAUGUAUAGAUAUUAAUAUAAAUUUAUCUAUAUAUGUAAAUUCAAAUAUGCAUCCAUUGAUCUGAAUGAAAUUCCGAAAUUUAUAAAAUUUAGUAUUUUGUCAUUUGUUUAGUUUCUAAUUUCUUGGCAAAGAAGUUGAAGCUGAGGAUGAAGCUUCGUUGAAUUUAAUAGUCUGAUGAAGUUUUCCACUAAUCUCUCUCAGGCAAUAGAGUCAACGAUUUGUGUCACAAUAUUCAAAGAAAACAAAGAAACCAAGCUCUUUGUUCCAUUAUUUUUUUCUUUUCUUUUAUUGUAACAAGCUCUUGUUCCAUUCUCUUUGUUUCAUCUUUCUUCAAAUAUCUUUCUAGCAAGGUCCUUGAUCCUCUCUCCACCGCACCAAUGGAUUCUUCUAUUUUAAUUACCAUUCUUGCUGCUGCAAUAGGCUUCUUCAUGAUUUUUAGAAAAAUCAGAUCCCAUCAAGAAAACAAAGAAAUCGAUUCUUCUUCUUCUUCUUUAUCUACUUCAUCAGUUCCUCCAUCUUUAUCGUCUCCUUCAUCAGUUCCUUCAUCUUCUUCGUCUCACAACUGGAUACACGAUGUUUUUCCGAGCUUCCGCGGGGAAGAUGUCCGCGAAGAAUUUCUCAGUCAUAUUAAGAAGGAGUUUGGAAGAAAGGGAAUUACACCGUUCAAUGAUAAUGGGAUCAAGAGAGGAGAAUCCAUCGGUCCUGAACUCAUACGGGCCAUUAGAGAAUCUAAGAUCGCGAUCGUUUUGCUCUCCAAGAACUAUGCUUCUUCAAAAUGGUGUCUUGACGAAUUGGUGGAGAUUAUGAAGUGCAGGGAAGAGUUGGGUCAAACUGUGAUGGCCGUUUUCUAUAAAGUAGAUCCAUCUGAUGUAAAGAAGCUUUUAGGAGAUUUUGGCAAGGUUUUCAGAAAAACUUGUGCGGGUAAAAGGAAGGAGGAUAUUGGAAGAUGGAGACAAGCUUUGGAAAAGGUGGCCACAAUCGCUGGUUACCAUUCAAACAAUUGGUUUGUUCUCUGCUUUGCUUUCAAUUUUUUCAAACACAUCAAAGAAUAUCCAGGAGUUACGUUUCUUUCUAAAAUUUUAUAAACCUAAGAAUUUUAGACUAUUGGUGAUAUUAUUGGAAAAUGAAUGCUAAAAGGUGGAUUUUGUUAGAAUUGCCCAAAUAUAUAUAUAUAUAUAUAUAUAUAUAGAUAUAUAUAAUAUCCAGCCAAAAACCACAUAUAAUUUGAAUUUGUAAAAAGAAAACGAAAAUUACAAUCACAAGACCACUUUUUUAAGCCUUCAAAUCUGAAUGAAAUAGAUAAGAAUAUUAAAUCUAAUCCUGCUCGUAGCAUUUCUCUGUUCUGUCGAGGAUUGUUCCCUUUAGCAUUAAUACAUAUAAGUUUUAAAGUCAAGUAGAACAAAAGUGUACGUGAAUUUUUGAUGAAUAUUGAACGAACCUACUCCAUCUGUCCUCUUGUUAGGGAUGAUGAAGCGGCCAUGAUCGAGAAAAUUGCCAUCGACGUUUCAAACGAGCUGAUUAAUAAUGCGCCAUCAAGUGAUUUCGACGGUUUCAUUGGGAUGGGAGCUCAUAUGGAAAAGAUGGAACCGUUCUUACUCUUAGGCUCCAAUGAAGUGAGGAUGAUAGGGAUUUUGGGUCCUUCUGGAAUUGGUAAGAGCACCAUCGCCAGAGUUUUGUAUAGCAAAUACUCUCAUCAUUUCCAACUUAUUGUCUUCAUGGAGAAUAUCAAAAGACGUUAUCCAAGACUUGCUUACGAUGAGUACAGUACGAAACUGCAAUUGCAGAACGAGUUCUUGUCCCAAAUAAUCAACCAGGAGGGAAUCAAGAUCCAUCAUUUAGGAGUUGCGCAAGAUAGGUUAAAAGACAAGAGAGUACUUGUCGUUCUUGAUGACGUGGACCAUUUGGUGCAACUAGAUGCCAUGGCGAAAGAAACUCGGUGGUUUGGGCCUGGAAGUCGGAUUAUCAUCACAACGCAAGAUAAAAGGCUUUUGAAUGCACACGGGAUUAACCAUAUUUACGAGGUGGGUUUCCCACAUGAAGAUGAGGCUCUUGAAAUCUUCUGCAUGGCGGCUUUUGGUCAGAAUUCUCCAUAUGAGGGUUUCAAGAUCCUUGCUAGGGAGGUUACAGGACUUGGUGGUCGACUCCCUUUGGGACUAAGGGUUAUGGGAUCUUAUUUGAAAGGAAGGUCCGAGCAGGAGUGGAGACAGGAACUACCAAGGUUAAGGACCAGCCUUGACGGAGAAAUUGAAAGCGUCUUGGAGUUCAGUUACAAUGCCUUACGUGCUGAAGAUAAAGCUUUAUUUCUUUAUAUAGCUUGUUUUUUCAACAAUGAAAGGAUUGAGAAAGUCCAAGUACAUCUAGCAAAGAAUUUCUCUAAUGUGAGUCAAGGUCUCCAGGUCUUAGCUGAGAAAUCUCUCAUAUCAAUCAGCGGCUGGGGAUCGAUAGAGAUGCAUGAUUUGCUAGCACGUUUGGGUAAAGAAAUUGUUGGUAGACAAGCCAUUCAUGACCCUGGGGAGCGUCAGUUUUUGGUUAAUGCCCAAGAUAUAUGCCAAGUACUGAACAAUGAUACACUGGUAAGUACUUUUCACACUCUCUCCCCUUCACUAGCAUGGUGCUCCAUAGACCUUACAAAAUUUGAUAACUAACCAUAUGUAUUUGGAUUCUUUUUCAGGGUAGUAAAAGAGUUAUAGGCAUAGAUCUCAAGUAUCAUGAGAUCAAGGAUGAGUUAAAAAUAAGUGAGAGAGCCUUUGAAAGAAUGUCUAGUCUCCAAUUCUUAAGAACACGUGGUGAUUCUAACUAUGCCUUACAGCCAAGACCAAACUAUCUACCUCCAAAAGUUACAUUGCUGCAUUGUGAAUAUUUUCCAAUGACAUGUCUCCCUUCUAGGUUCAAUCCGAAUUUCCUCGUGGAACUAAACAUGCCUCGUAGCAGGCUUGAGAAAUUAUGGAAAGGAAUUAAAGUAAGUAAAUUUUGUUCUCUAGUAUGUAUUUCAGUUUUAUUCGAAUCUAUAGUUCUUCUUUUUGGACAUCAUGCUUAAGGUGAAACAAAAAUCUCAAUGGUACUGUAUUGUGUUCUAGGAUAAUUUUUCUUUGAUGAAUUCACUACUAAGUGUCUAUCAAUGUUAUUGUUUCUCUGUACAGACGAUUAAAAAUCUCAAGUGGAUGGAUUUGAGUUAUUCCGAAAAUCUGAAGGAGCUUCCUGAUCUCUCAACUGCCAGUAGUCUCCAAGAAUUGAAACUUAAAUAUUGCUCAAGUCUGGUGAAGCUUCCAUCUUCUAUUGGGAAUGCUGUUAAUCUUCAAAAACUAGAUCUCAGUAAAUGCUCAAGUCUGGUGAAGCUCCCAUCUUCUAUUGGGAAUGCUGUUAAUCUUCAGAAAUUAAAUCUCAGUAGAUGCUCAAGUCUAGUGGAAGUCUCAUCUUCUAUUGGAUAUGUUAUUAAUCUCAAGAAGUUGAAUCUUUGUGGUUGCUCAAGUAUAGUGAAUCUCCCAUUUUCUAUUGGGAAUGUCACUAGUCUUCAGAGAUUGGAUCUCAGUGGUUGUUUAAGUUUGGUGGAGCUCCCAUCUUCUAUUAGAAAUCUUAUUAAUCUACAGAAGUUGGAUCUUUCUGAUUGCUCAAGUCUAGUUGAGCUCCCAUCUUCUAUUUGGAAUGUUUUUAAUAGUAACCUCAAGGAGUUGAAUCUUCGUGAUUGCUCAAGUGUAGUGAAGCUCCCAUCUUUUAUUGUGAAUGUUGUUAAUCUUGAGAAAUUAAACAUCAGUGGUUGCUCGAGUUUAGUGAAGCUCUCAUCUUCAAUGGGAAAUGCUGUUAAUCUCAACGAGUUAAAUCUUAGUGGCUGCUCAAGUAUAGUGAAGCUCCCAUUUUCUAUUGGGAAUGUCACUAAUCUUCAGGAGUUAAAUCUUAAAGGUUGUUCAAGUCUAGUUGAGCUCCCAUUUUCUAUUGGGAAUCUUAUUAAUCUCACAGAGUUGGAUCUUUCUGGUUGCUCAAGUCUAGCGGAACUCCCAUCUUCUAUUGGAAAUGCUGUUAAUCUUCAAAAACUAGAUCUCAAUGGUUGCUCAAGCCUGGUGGAGCUCCCAUCAUCGAUUGAAAAUCUUCGAAAUUUGUUGUACUUGCCUUUGAAAGGUUGCUCAAAGCUAGAGGCUCUUCCGAUCAACAUCAACAUGGAAUCUCUCCAUAAACUUGAUCUCACUGACUGCUCAUCGUUGAAAAGUUUCCCUGAGAUUUCCACAAAUAUUAAGUCUCUCUGGAUUUGUGGAACUGCUGUAGAAGAAGUUCCUUCGUCAUUCAGGUCAUUGUAUUAUCUUGAGCACUUGCAAAUGCAAUACUGUGAAAACCUUGGGGAAUUCCGCAUGCUUUUGACCGCAUCAUGAAGCUGCACGUGAGCAAUACAAGAAUACAAAAACUUGCUCCAUGGGUUAAGGGAAUGUAUCGUCUACAUACACUUGUGCUUGAGAGAUGCACAAAUCUUGUUUCGCUCCCAGAGCUUCCAGGCUCCUUAAGAGUCCUGCUUGCAGAAAAUUGUGAGUCACUAGAGACACUAGAUUGCUCUUUUCACAAGACAGAGUUUGACCGUCUCAGGUUUAUCAACUGCUUCAAAUUGAAUCAAGAUGCAAUAGACCUUAUCAUCAAGACAUCGAUUGGUCACUAUGGCCAUGCAGUCUUACCCGGAGAAAAAGUGCCUACGUACUUCACUUACCGAAACAAUGGGAGUUCAAUCUCAGUGAAUUUGAAUGAAACUGAUACACAUUUUCCUAUAUCCUUGAGAUUUAAGGCUUGCGUCUUGCUGGUUAAUAAGGGUGGCAAUUGGAGUUUGAGGUAUCUAUAUUGUCGCAUCAAUGGUGUCAAUUCUAGGAUUCCCAUUCUCACCGAACUAUCGCCAUGUGGAAAGGAGCAUCUGUUCAUAUUCGAAUAUGAAGCACAGGUGAGUUCCAGUGAAUUAGUCUUUGAAUUCGAAUUUAGCGAGAAGAAAUUGGAGAUUGGAGAAUGCGGGAUACAAACUUCAGGUCCCUAGGUGUUAUAAGGAGGAUGUACAGUAUAAUUUCCAUUUUCAUUAUUGUUUACUUCAAAAAAAAAAAAAACAUUACUUUCAAGUUGAUGUGCAUUUUAUGUAUGAUUGUCAUUGUGUGAUAUUGGAUUUAUUUGAAUUUAACUGAUGAAUUCACAAUGUUUUUAAUGCAAUGCAUUCCUUGUCUGCCUUAAAUUAUCGACCAAACAGUUGUUAAUUAAUUAAUGGUAUGUUCUUCCUUUUUCGACUAAUCAUAUCGAAGGGAUAGCAGAGAUAUUUUGUCACUCCUAAUUUCUUGGCAACAGAGUUGAAGCCGAGGAUGAAGUUUCCAGAGAAGAUUGAUGUCUUUUCUGUGUAGUGUGAAGUGUGAACUCAUCAAUUCUUGACGAAGAGACAUGGACGUCUUCCUUGAAAUUGCUUCUGCUCUUCCUUGCCCUUUCCUUCUUAGACCAGAAAACUCAAAACGGGGUUUUCCACAAAUCUCUUUCAGUCAAUGAAGACUACAGAGUCAACGUUUUAUUAUCACUAUAUUUUUUUUUAGAAAAUAUAAUCACCAUAUUCAAUUGUAUCUUUCUAGGAAGCUUAUUGGUCCUCUCUCCUCCACACAAACUGAUUCUACUUCUUAUCCUCACCAUUCUUUGCUACUACAAUAUGCUUGUUCAUGAUAUAUAGAACAUUCAUAUUCCAUCAAGAAAACCAAGAAUCGAAGAUUGUCUUCUUUAUCUACUUCAUCACCUCCAUUUUGUUGUUGUAAUAUACUAAUACUUUAUUCAGCAACAAAAAAAAAAAACAAAAUGAGAUUUCAAUCGUUUUUGAGAGAAUUUAAAAAACAGAGACGGAUGGUAGAAAAGAGAAAGAAAAGGAAAUCAGAGGAGCUUUCAAAUCCAGUGAGAAAGAAGAUCCGAGUGCCAUCACCUCCAUCUUUAUCUCUUUCAUCAGCUCCAUCUUCUUUGUCUCCUUCAUUACCUUCAUCUCCUCCAUCUCCUACAUCUUUAUCUCUUCCAUUACUUCCAUCUUCUUUAUUUCUUUCAUCACCUCCAUAUUCUUUGUCUCCUUCAUUACCUUCAUCUCCUCCAUCUCCUACAUCUUUAUCUCUUUCAUCACUUCCAUCUUCUUUAUCUCUUUCAUCACCUCCAUCUUCUUUGUCUCCUUCAUCACUUCCAUCUUCUUCAUAUCUUUCAUCACCUCCAUCUUCUAUGUCUCCUUUAUUACCUUCAUCUUCUUCAUCUCCUCCAUCUCUUCCAUCUCCUCGUUCAUCUUCCUCGUCUCACAACUGGACACACGACGUUUUUCCGAGCUUCCGUGGGGAAGAUGUCCGCAGAAGCUUUCUCAGUCAUAUUCAAAAGGAGUUUGAAAGAAAGGGAAUCACACCAUUCAAUGAUAAUGGAAUCAAGAGAGGAAAAUCCAUCGGUCCUGAACUCAUACGGGCGAUUAGAGGAUCUAAGAUUGCAAUAAUCUUGAUCUCCAAGAACUAUGCUUCUUCAAGUUGGUGUCUUGACGAAUUGGUGGAGAUUAUGAAGUGCGAGGAAGAGUUGGGUCAAACUGUGCUGGCCAUUUUCUAUAAAGUAGAUCCAUCUGAUGUAAAGAAGCUGACCGGAUAUUUUGGGGAGGUUUUUAAAAAAACCUGUGCCGAUAAAAGUAAGGAGGAUAUUCGGAGAUGGAGACAAGCUUUGGAGAAGGUGGCCAAAAUCGCUGGUUACCAUUCAAUCAACUGGUUUGUUCUCUUGAGAUCUGCUUGCUUUUAGUCUUUUCAAACACAUCAAAAUAUAAUUUACAAGAUUAUUAAAUUUUAUGAAGAGUUCUUAAAAGUCAAAGAGUUACUUUUCUUUCUAAAAUUUCAUAAACCCUUACAAUGUUAGAGUUCUGGUGAUAUUAUUGGGAAAUAAAUGCUAGAAUGUGGAUUUUUUGUUUAUAUAUAUAUAUAUAGGUUUAUUCGUAUAAAUCUAAUUUUGAUCAUUCGUUUCAUUGAAUGAAUGUAUUCAUCUUUCUUCUUGUUAGGGAUGAUGAAGCGAACAUGAUCGAAACAAUUGCCAAGGACGUUUCAAACAAGCUGAUUAAUAAUGCGCCAUCAAGUGAUUUCGACGGUUUCGUUGGGAUGAGAGCUCAUAUGGAAAAUAUGAAACCAUUAUUACUCCUUGGCUCCAAUGAAGUAAGGAUGAUAGGGAUUUGGGGUCCAUCUGGAAUAGGUAAAAGCACCAUCGCCAGAGUUCUAUUUUGGGAACAUUCUAGCCAGUUCCAAUUUAGUGUCUUCAUGGCUGAUAUCAAAAGACGCUAUCCAAGACUUGGUUGCAGUGAGUACAGUACGCAACUGCAAUUACAGGAAGAGUUCUUGUCUUCAAUAUUCAACCAGAAGGAUAUCAAGAUUCAUCAUUUAGGAGUUGUGCAAGACAGGUUAAAAGACAAGAGAGUGCUUGUGGUUCUUGAUGACGUGGACCAUUUGGACCAACUAUAUGCCGUGGCGAAAGCAACUGGGUGGUUUGGUCCUGGAAGUCGGAUUAUCAUCACAACACAAGAUAAAGGACUUUUGAAUGCACACGGGAUUAACCAUGUUUACAAGGUGGGUUUCCCACGUUACAAUGAGGCUCUAGAAAUCUUCUGCAUGUAUGCUUUUGGUCAAAAGGCUCCAUAUGAUGGUUUCGAGAAGCUUGCUUGGGAAGUUACAAGACUUGCUGGUAGUCUCCCUUUGGGACUAAAGGUUAUGGGAUCUUAUUUGAAAGGAAGGCCCGAGGAGGAGUGGUGGAAGGAACUACCAAGGUUAAGGACUAGCCUUGAUGGAGACAUUGAAAGUGUCUUGGAAUUCAGUUACAAUGCCUUACUUGCUGAGGAUAAAGAAUUAUUCCUUUAUAUAGCUUGCUUUUUCAACAAUGUACCGAUGGAGAAAGUAGAAACACAUCUAGCAAAUCAUUUCCCCAGUGUGAGUCAAGGUCUUAAGGUCUUAGCUGAGAGAUCUCUCAUAUCUAUCACCACCAGCUACAACGGCUUGACCCCCGAAGAUGUCUGUAUGCAUGAUUUGCUAGCACGGUUUGGUAGAGAAAUUGUUCGUCGACAAUCCCUUUAUGAUCCUGGGCAGCGUCAGUUUUUGGUUAAUGUGCAAGAUAUAUGUAAAGUACUGAAGAAUGAUACACUAGUAAGUUUUCACAUUAUCCUUCACUGCAUGUUGCUCCUUAGACAAUACGAAAUUUAAUAACUAACCAUAUAUAUUUACGUAUGUGUCAUUGGAUUCUUUUUCAGGGUAGCGAAAGAGUUGUAGGCUUACAACUCGAUUAUGAUGAGAUCGAGGAUGAGUUAAUAAUAAGUGAGGGAAGCUUUGAAAGAAUGUCUGGUCUCCAAUUCUUAAGGACAACAAGGGGAGACAGAUAUAAACACUCAAGCCCAAACUAUCUACCUCGAAAAGUUAAAUUACUGCAUUGUGGACAUUCUUUGAUGACAUGCCUGCCUUCUAAUUUUAAUACGGAUUCGCUCGUCGAGCUAAACAUGCCUCACAGCAAGCUUGAGAAAUUGUGGGAUGGAAUUAAAGUAAGUCAUUUUCUUUCUCUAAAACUUUGUGUAUUUUACUUCGGUUUUAUUCGAAUACAUAGUUUUUCUUUUUGUACACUAUGUUCUAGCUGAAAAUAGAAAAGUGAUCUCACCACACCCCUUUUUUUUUGUUGCUGGAAUUAAAUCUCAAUGGCAUUAUAAUGUGUUUAUGAGUUUUUUUUUUUGUGAUGAGUUAACUACUAAGUGUAUCAACGUACGUAUUUGUUUCUCUGUACAGACGAUUAAAAAUCUCAAGUGGAUGGAUUUGAGUCGUUCCUCUAAUCUGAAAGAACUUCCUGAUCUUUCAACUGCCACUAAUCUCCGCGUACUGAAACUUCAAAAUUGCUCGGGUUUGGUGAAGCUCCCAUCUUCUAUUGGGAAUGCUACUAAACUUCUGAAAUUAGAUCUCAGUGGUUGUUCAAAUCUAGUGGAACUCCCAUCUUCUAUUGGGAAUCUUAUUAAUCUCACGGAGUUGUAUCUCAGUGGUUGUUCAAAUCUAGUGGAACUCCUAUCUUCUAUUGGGAAUCUUAUUAAUCUCAAACACCUAGAUCUUAGAAGUUGCUCAAAUCUGGUGGAGCUCCCAUCUUCUAUUGGGAAUGCUACUAAACUUCUGAAAUUGGAUCUCAGUGGUUGUUCAAAUCUAGUGGAGCUCCCAUCUUCUAUUGGGAAUCUUAUUAAUCUCACGGAGUUGUAUCUCAUUGAUUGUUCAAAUCUAGAGGAGCUCCCAUCUUCUAUUGGGAAUCUUAUUAAUCUCACGGAGUUGUAUCUCAUUGAUUGUUCAAAUCUAGAGGAGCUCCCAUCUUUUAUUGGGAAUCUUAUUAAUCUCGAACAACUAGAUCUUAGAAGUUGCUCAAAUCUGGUGGAGCUCCCAUCUUCUAUUGGGAAUGCUACUAAACUUCUGAAAUUGGAUCUCAGUGGUUGUUCAAAUCUAGUGGAGCUCCCAUCUUCUAUUGGGAAUGCUACUAAACUUCUGAAAUUAGAUCUCAGUGGUUGUUCAAAUCUAGUGGAACUCCCAUCUUCUAUUGGGAAUCUUAUUAAUCUCACGGGCUUGGAUAUCAGUGGUUGUUCAAAUCUAGUGGAACUCCCAUCUUCUAUUGGGAAUCUUAUUAAUCUCGAACAACUAGAUCUUAGAAGUUGCUCAAAUCUGGUGGAGCUCCCAUCUUCUAUUGGGAAUCUUAAUAAUCUCGAACAACUAGAUCUUAAAAGUUGCUCAAAUCUAGUGGAACUCCCAUCUUCUAUUGGGAAUCUUAUUAAUCUCAAACACCUAGAUCUUAGAAGUUGCUCAAAUCUGGUGGAGCUCCCAUCUUCUAUUGGGAAUGCUACUAAACUUCUGAAAUUGGAUCUCAGUGGUUGUUCAAGUCUAGUGGAGCUCCCAUCUUCUAUUGGGAAUCUUAUUAAUCUCGCAGAGUUGAAUGUUAGUAGGUGCUCAAGUCUAGCGGAGCUCCCAUCUUCUAUUGGGAAUGCUACUAAACUUCGGAAAUUGGAUAUCAGUGGUUGUUCAAGUCUAGUGGAGCUCCCAUCUUCUAUUGGGAAUCUUAUUAAUCUCACGGAGUUGGAUCUUAGUUGGUGCUCAAGUCUAGAGGUGCUCCUAUCUUCUAUUUGGAAUGCUACUAAACUUCUGAAAUUGAAUCUCAGUUGUUCAAGUCUAGUGGAGUUCCCAUAUUCUAUUGGGGAUCUUAUUAAUCUCACGAAGUUGGAUCUCAGUAGUUGUUCAAGUCUAGUGAAGCUCCCAUCUUCUAUUGGGAAUCUUAUUAAUCUCACGGAGUUGGAUAUCAGUGAUUGUUCAAGUCUAGAGGAGCUCCCAUCUUCUAUUGGGAAUGCUACUAAACUUCUGAAAUUGGAUCUCAUUGAUUGUUCAAAUCUAGAGGAGCUCCCAUCUUCUAUUGGGAAUCUUAUUAAUCUCAAACACCUAGAUCUUAGAAGUUGCUCAAAUCUGGUGGAGCUCCCAUCUUCUAUUGGGAAUGCUACUAAACUUCUGAAAUUGGAUCUCAGUGGUUGUUCAAGUCUAGUGGAGCUCCCAUCUUCUAUUGGGAAUCUUAUUAAUCUAACGAAGUUGGAUCUUAAUUGGUGCUCAAAUCUAGUGGAGCUCCCAUCUUCUAUUGGGAAUCUUAUUAAUCUCAAACACCUAGAUCUUAGAAGUUGCUCAAAUCUGGUGGAGCUCCCAUCUUCUAUUGGGAAUGCUACUAAACUUCUGAUAUUGGAUCUCAGUGGUUGUUCAAGUCUAGUGGAGCUCCCAUAUUCUAUUGGGGAUCUUAUUAAUCUCACGGAGUUGGAUCUCAGUAGUUGUUCAAGUCUAGUGAAGCUCCCAUCUUCUAUUGAGAAUCUUAUUAAUCUCCAGACCUUGAAGCUUAUAGGCUGCUCAAGUCUAGAGGCUCUUCCGAUCAACAUCGACAUGGAAUCUCUCGAUACACUUUUUCUCACUGGUUGCUCAUCGUUGAAAACCUUUCCUGAGAUUUCCACAAAAAUUAAGACUCUUUGGAUUUGUGGAACUGCAAUAGAAGAAAUUCCUUCGUCAUUCAGGUCAUGGUCUUGUCUUGAGGACUUGCAAAUGCCAUACUGUGAAAACCUGGCGGAAUUUCCGCAUGCUUUUGGCUGCAUCACGGAGCUUCAGGUGAGCAAUACAAGAAUACAAGAAAUUGCUCCAUGUGUCAAGGAAAUGUCUCGUCUACGUACACUUGUAAUCAAGGGAUGCACAAAUCUUGUUUCGCUCCCAGAGCUUCCAGGCUCCUUAAGAGUCCUGCUUGCAGAAAAUUGCGAGUCACUAGAGACACUAGAUUGCUCUUUUCACAAGAUAGAGUUUGAUCGUCUCUUGUUUAGCAACUGCUUCAAAUUGAAUCAAGAAGCAAGAGACCUUAUCAUCAAGACAUCGAUUAGUAUUAAAGAUGGCUAUGAAAUCUUACCCAGAGAAAUAGAGAUCUCUCAUCUCUAUCACCAACAAUUACGACGGCAACUGGUUCUCCAACAGUGUCCGUAUGCAUGAUUUGCUAGUACGGUUUGGUAGAGAAAUUGUUCGUCGACAAUCCAUUUAUGAUCCUGGGCAGCGUCAGUUUUUGUUUAAUGCCCAAGAUAUAUGCCAAGAACUAAAUAAUGAUACACUAGUAAGUUUUCACAUUAUCCUUCACUGUGUGUUGCUCCUUAGACCAUACGAAAUUUAAUAACUAACCAUAUUUAUUUACGUAUGUGUCAUUGGAUUCUUUUUCAGGGUAGCGAAAGAGUUGUAGGCUUACUAUUCGAUUAUGAUGAGAUCGAGGAUGAGUUAAUAAUAAGUGAGAGAGCCUUUGAAAGAAUGUCUAGUCUCCAAUUCUUAAGAACAAACUAUCACUUUGCCGUAAACUCAAGCCCAAACUAUCUACCUCGAAAAGUUAAAUUACUGCAUUGUGGACAUUCUUUGAUGACAUGCCUGCCUUCUAAUCUUAAUACGGAUUUCCUCGUCGAGCUAAACAUGCCUCACAGCGAGCUUGAGAAAUUGUGGGAUGGAAUUAAAGUAAGUCAUUUUCUUUCUCUAAAACUUUGUAUAUACUUCGGUUUUAUUCGAAUACAUAGUUUUUCUUUUUGUACACUGCUCUAGCUGAAAAUAGAAAACUGAUCUCACCACACCCUUUUUUUGUUGCUGGAAUUAAAUCUCAAUGGCAUUAUAAUGUGUUAAUGAGUUUUUUUUUUUUUUGUGAUGAGUUCACUACUAAGUGUAUCAACGUACGUAUUUGUUUCUCUGUACAGACGAUUAGAAAUCUCAAGUGGAUGGAUUUGAGUCAUUCUGAAAACCUGAAGGAACUUCCUGAUCUUUCAACUGCCACUAAUCUCCUCGAACUGAAACUUCAAAGUUGCUCGGGUUUGGUGAAGCUCCCAUCUUCUAUUGGGAAUCUUAUUUAUCUCACGGAGUUGGAUCUCUGUUUUUGUUCAAAUCUAGUGGAACUCCCAUCUUCUAUUGGAAAUCUUAUUAAUCUUCAGGAGUUGAAGCUUAUAGGCUGCUCAAGUCUAGAGGCUCUUCCGAUCAACAUCGACAUGGAAUCUCUCGAUACACUUUUUCUCACUGGUUGCUCAUCGUUGAAAACCUUUCCUGAGAUUUCCACAAAAAUUAUGUAUCUAUGGAUCUGUGGAACAGCAAUAGAAGAAAUUCCUUCGUCAUUCAGGUCAUGGUUUUGUCUUGAGGACUUGAAAAUCCCGUACAGUGAAAACCUGGCGGAAUUUCCGCAUGUUUUUGGCUGCAUCACGGAGCUUCGGGUGAGCAAUACAAGAAUACAAGAAAUUGCUCCAUGUGUCAAGGAAAUGUCUCGUCUACGGAGACUUGAAAUCGUCGGAUGCACAAAUCUGGUUUCGCUCC